CUUACUGGCCAGAAGGGAAGAAGUAUUCUUUCAUUGGUUGUUGUGUGUUGCCUUGUCAACCAAUCAGAGGAUGCCAUUUAUCCUUUUCUGACUAGCUAGGUGAGCAGGGUA
Molecule: microRNA precursor, 111 nt
Filed under: Ovis aries (sheep)
Lineage: Eukaryota; Metazoa; Chordata; Mammalia; Artiodactyla; Bovidae
Description: miRNA (ENSOARG00000022873.1)
Rfam family: mir-1179 microRNA precursor family (bases 9-90)
Source: RNAcentral